This 107-nucleotide ribosomal RNA is filed under the name Cryptococcus deneoformans JEC21. Lineage: Eukaryota; Fungi; Basidiomycota; Tremellomycetes; Tremellales; Cryptococcaceae. The record is from RNAcentral.
AUCUUUUUCCAUAGUCUUCUUACAGCACCCUGCCUCGUCCGAUCCAGGAAGUCAAGCUGAAGAGCGCUCGGUUAGUACCACGAUGGGGGACAACGGUGAGGGCGUUA